RNAcentral lists this ribosomal RNA (253 nucleotides) under uncultured bacterium. RNAcentral's name for it is "partial 16S ribosomal RNA". It matches the Rfam family "Bacterial small subunit ribosomal RNA", at positions 524 to 776 of the family's 1533-position model. The record is from RNAcentral.
UACGUAGGGACCGAGCGUUGUCCGGAAUCAUUGGGCGUAAAGAGCGUGUAGGCGGCUUGCUAAGUCUUGCGUGAAAUCUCAAGGCUCAACCUUGAGCUUGCAGUGGGUACGGGCAGACUAGAGUGUGGUAGGGGAGACUGGAAUUCCUGGUGUAGCGGUGAAAUGCGCAGAUAUCAGGAGGAACACCGAUGGCGAAGGCAGGUCUCUGGGCCACUACUGACGCUGAGAAGCGAAAGCAUGGGGAGCGAACAGG